Caretta caretta (loggerhead turtle) is the source of this 1897-nucleotide long non-coding RNA. RefSeq lists it as uncharacterized. NCBI's taxonomy places the organism in Eukaryota, Metazoa, Chordata, Testudines, Cheloniidae. The record is from RefSeq and is a predicted model, not a curated record.
AGAACAGAUUCCUGCAUCCAAAGCUUUACAAGAAAUCCCGUCAGAACACAAAACCGCAUGGGAUGGUGCUGAUUUAGGAUGGGAAGAAUCCAUACAUGCUAAAACCUCUCAGGGAAGACGAGUCCAAGGACCAGAUCCUCAGUCAGUGUAAAGUGGCAUAGUUCUUUUAUCUUCAUUGAAUAUACUGACAUCAGCUGGGGAUCACGCCCCAAGGUUUCAAUUGCUGUCAGCUAGGAACUGAUGGAAGCAAGGUAUGCAUUAACACACUAAGGCUCUUAGGAAAAAAUGGUUCCAAAGGGUACACUAAAGCCCUUAAACCAAUUUCAGAAACAAAAUGAAAAUUAAAGAAGCAAAGAGGGAACUGCCCCUAGUGACUUGAAAAGUUCUCUAAGAGCGAAAGCAACAAGAGCGGUUGAAAAGGGAAAAUGUUAAGAACACAGCCUUCCUCUGAAAAGCAAUAUACAGCCUACUGAGAAGCUAACAGUGCACAGAAAGCUACAGGGCUCCUUUGUGUUUACAGUUAAAUUAACUUGAGAUUGACAUAGAAUGAGAAUAAAAUGUCAAAAGGUCAAAGCAAUGUCAAGUGUAUACCAAGCCCUUUGUUUACAUGGCAUAGUUUCUACCCUUUAAAAUUGUUUAAUAUCUUCAUUCAUCAGCAAGUCUUAGUCUGGAAAAGACUGACGUCAGGCUGGUAGUUUGGAGGUAAGCAAUCAGAGGACUUGCCAAUUUCCUCCAUAUUGUCACUUGAGGAAAUUGGCUUCUAUUGUUACCUCCCGAACAGAUUGCUUUUGUACUUUCUAUAUGGGGGGAGGGGGGUACACUUUAAGAUUGGGAAAAAUGUGGCUUUCCAUUUGUAAAGUGGUACUUCCUGGAAGAAACACAUGAGAUGAUCAGCACUGGCUUCCAAAUUCUUUCUUGGUGCAAUCAAAGGUUAUUUUAGCCUAUAAAACCCCAAAUGGUUUGAAUCUUGAAUGCUUUAAACAUCAUUUUCUCCCUAAGUGACACUGAGAUGUUUGCUAUUAGCUGGGGUGCUCAAACUAAGACACCCCUGGCCAAAAUAAGAAGGGGCACGAGGGGAACAGGGCAGAAAUAGAGACACGUUGUUUUCAAUGAGGGGCCUUGGAUUUUGGAAACCAUGUCUCCACCAGAGCCUGAUUCUGUUGACCAUCACGUCAUGCAGUAUAACUUGGGUGUCCCCAAGGCAUUUUCAGGGAAGGAGGGGAGAAAAGUGGGUGGGAGUGAUGGUCAGAGAGUUGGUUUUGGAGGUAUUUAGGAGAAUUUUUAGUGCUGGACUUUUUUCAAGUUGAAUUUGUGUGUCCACAAAUAAAGUUGGUUUACAUUUUCUACACGUACCUAAAAUUUUGGAUAGGUGAUUUUUUAAAUAAGACUAAAUAAAACAGAUAAUAUAAAUGGAGACUUAGAAAUCACAAAUGCAUUUACAACUUAAAACAUAUGAAAAUCAGACUUACUUGCCAAGUCUUGAGUUCAAACUGCUGUAUCUCCCAUGCAGCAGUUGAAGAUAUCACAAACACUCAAGCCAGUCAGGCAGUAGGGCAGAAAAAUACUUUCCAAAAUAUUUUUAGUGUUCAGGACAUGAAGCCAUCAAUGAUGAAGCUUUUACAUUAUCCAGUGUCUGUUUGCCAUUAUGCUUGACUGCGGCCCAUCUGCACUACCAUCAUCAUGAUCGAAUGAUAAGCGAUGCAAGAUCUCUUGAAGAAGAAACUGGGAACCAUGAUUUCUAAGCUCGGUUCUUGGAUCUGCCCUUACUCUAGUGCCUUGGGCAAAUCACUUAACCUUUGUUUCUCAAUCUGUUAUAUGAAAAUAAUACCGACUCCCCUAUGCCCCCCCACCGGGGUGUUAUAAGGUUUAAUUAAAAUUGUAACAUACUUUGGAAGUA